Molecule: long non-coding RNA, 2171 nt
Filed under: Setaria viridis
Lineage: Eukaryota; Viridiplantae; Streptophyta; Magnoliopsida; Poales; Poaceae
Description: long non-coding RNA (SVIR_LNC008733)
Source: RNAcentral
CCGACUGUUCUCAUCCUCAUAAUGAAUGUGACACAAUACUUUGCGCAAUGCUUUCUCCCUCAAUUUGCGCCCGGGCCAACUCAUCAUAAAAGGUUCAACAAACUUGUGGAGAGUGGCCCAUAAGAUAUCUUGAACCAACGAAUGCGGAUAGUACAAAUCUUCCUAAAGUACAAGCAAGAAAAAAUAUGGCAGCUAUCUAAGUUUCGAUAUUCACUAUAAUAACUGCAUUCAUAUUGUAGUGAUUUUAUAGUGACUGGUAUAAGCGAUUUUGUCUAAAAAUACUGAUGAUUGUUUCCUUGUUGAGUUGUCAAUUUAAAAGAUUCAGUUAUAUCCUAUGUAUUCUUAUACACGAAGCUAAUUAACAUCACUUGGUACAAUAAGCCUGCUUUCUUAUGAUCAUGACUUAUUACUCAAAACCAUCUUGUUCAUCGGAUUAAUAUUUCUAAUGUUAUAAUUCAGACUUUUCAACAAACCUUAGCACAUUGAUUUCGAGCGUUGUUCCAAUCAAUAUGGCUGUAUGAGUCUUUGUAGAGUUCAUUUCUCAAUUCCUGGACAAGUUGUGUCAUACGGCCAACAAACCUCUUUCCGUAAACGUAAGACAUGGGUAAAUACACCGAUCGACAAUGACUCCACAUUCGGCCUGAAACGAUUAGUGAAGCGUAAUAGCAUGAGCAAAAAAUAUCCUAACACAAAAGAAAGUAAUACUACUUAUCAACAAUGAGGUAUGGCAAUAGAAGUAGUCUAUAGUAAACUAAUAUGACGUGUACACAAAUAAAUAAUCUUGAGCCUGUUUGUCUCCCUCGUUUCUUAGCCCAAUUCACUGAACAAAGCCUAAAGAUUUGGUAUAGUCAAUGUUUUUUCCCGAUCCCCUUUCCAAAAAGGAAAGUUGUGGAAUGGUUAAGAAAAUAUUUAUUUACUGGUUUCACUUAAAGUAAAAUUAAGCAUGAACUCCCCAAAGUUCUACUUUAUCUAUUGUGAAAGUAUUUGAAAUUACUCAUUAUAUUAGAUAAAAAUGUUUGUAAAACAUAUAAUUUAAUUUUCGUUGUAUUUCAGAAAACUAUAAUUUUUUGAAUUAAUGACACAAAAGUGCACUUUUAAUAUCAUCGCCAUUAAAAUUUAUACAUUCACAAAUCAAUAUGUAAAUAUAUGCUGUCAACUUUUAUCCUCUUGCUAAUCAUGAAUGCUUUAUGUUCCAAUUGGUGUUGCUUUAUAAUCCCCAGCCACAAUUCACAAUAUGGGAUGUUGUUACCCUGAGCAAAAGGUCACUAGAUGCCUAGGUUUGCUUCAAUCUUUUCAUUAUUUAUUCAGUCUGCCAUGCGCAGCACCUAUGCACGGUACACUAAGGGUGUGGUUGGUUGUAUGAAAUGAUUCAAAAUAAUAACGAUCAUUUUGUUUGGUUGGGUGAAUUGUACCAACUCAUCGAUGAUGAAGCCAUCCUACUUAAUUUAUUAUUCUACUAGUAGGAGUGAAUACAAGCAAAUUGGUUGAACCCCACCAUCCAAAAUCAUCCAUACAUGCAUUAUGUAGUGCAUGCAACCAAACAACACUCUAAGUUAGUACAGUAGUUGUUAUGAUUUACCAACAGACAUUUAUUGCAUGCUCUGGUUCCAUCGCAGAUAAGUUUCUGUGUUUGUCCUGAGUAAAAGAUUCGAUGUCGACCAGAUUCAUAUAUAAAAGUUUUAACAUGCGCCAUAUAUCUAUGAAAAUACAUUUCAUAAUAGAUCUAAUUAUGCUCAUUUAAUUUGAUAUUUUAGAUAUAAUUAUUCUUUUCAAUAAACUAUGUUAAACAUAGAAUAAUCUGACGACAAAUUCAGAAUCUCUUAUAUGUAACACAAUGGAAUGUGCCUCAAGGAAGAAAUCAGAACCUGGGUGAAUCGGCAGGUAAUAUGGCAACAGCCAUAAUUCUGGUGGCAUCGGGUUGAUUCCAGACCAGUCAAAUACUCCAAGUACCUUAAAUGUAUAGUUAAGAGAUAUUCAUGAGUACUUUAGUUCGUGAAGCAAGAUUAAAUAACACUGGCGUGGCUAAGGGUUAAUUAAUCCCCUACUGCAAGCCAAAACUUCCCCCAUGACGUUGUAAAUGUUGCUCCUCCGCGCUCUAAAAUCCAAUUUCGACCUUGCUUCAUAGCUCCAUCGCCGCCAUUUGGGCCUUCCCCAAGUAAUCUCAAAGUAAC